UCAUGUCAUGUACUGAGCCUCUACGUGGCGAAAGGGAUCAACAGACAAAAGUCUGGCUAAUCAGUA
RNAcentral lists this non-coding RNA (66 nucleotides) under Caenorhabditis briggsae. The record is from RNAcentral. Lineage: Eukaryota; Metazoa; Nematoda; Chromadorea; Rhabditida; Rhabditidae.